CCCUUAGAUGAUUUGGGCUGCACGCGCGCUACACUGACCCUAACAAUGAGCAACUGUCUGGCCUGAGAUGGCUGGGUAGCCUUUUCAACCCAUGUCAUGAUUGGGCUAGAUUUUUGUAAGACUUGAUCUCUAACGAGGAAUCCCUAGUAUGCGUGAAUCAUCAAUCCAUGCAGAUUAUGUCCCUGCCCUUUGUACACACCGCCCGUCGCUCCUACUGAUUGGGUGAUCCGGUGAGCUGUUCGGCCAUAGCAAUGUUUCUUGAGCAGGGCAAUGAAUGUUUCGCAAACCUUGCCACUUAGAGGAAGGAGAAGUCGUAACA
This 319-nucleotide ribosomal RNA is filed under the name uncultured eukaryote. Its description in RNAcentral is "partial 18S ribosomal RNA". It matches the Rfam family "Eukaryotic small subunit ribosomal RNA", at positions 1470 to 1796 of the family's 1831-position model. The record is from RNAcentral.